GAACGCUAGCUACAGGCUUAACACAUGCAAGUCGAGGGGCAGCAUGAACAUAGCUUGCUAUGUUUGAUGGCGACCGGCGCACGGGUGCGUAACACGUAUCCAAUCUGCCCGUUACUCGGGAUAGCCUUCUGAAAGGAAGAUUAAUACCCGAUGGCAUGUAUUUCCGGCAUCGGAGAUACAUUAAAGAUUUAUUGGUAUAGGAUGGCGAUGCGUGGCAUUAGGUAGUAGGCGGGGUAACGGCCCACCUAGCCGACGAUGCCUAGGGGUUCUGAGAGGAAGGUCCCCCACACUGGAACUGAGACACGGUCCAGACUCCUACGGGAGGCAGCAGUGAGGAAUAUUGGUCAAUGGUCGAGAGACUGAACCAGCCAUGCCGCGUGAAGGUCACGGCCCUAUGGGUCUUAAACUUCUUUUGUCAGGGAGCAAUAAGGUCUACGUGUAGAUCGAUGAGAGUACCUGACGAAUAAGCAUCGGCUAACUCCGUG
RNAcentral lists this ribosomal RNA (485 nucleotides) under uncultured bacterium. Its description in RNAcentral is "bacterial SSU rRNA". It matches the Rfam family "Bacterial small subunit ribosomal RNA", at positions 31 to 507 of the family's 1533-position model. The record is from RNAcentral.